AUAUCUACCUGGCAAGGGAAAUACCACCAACAAGAAGGUGGUUUUCUCAAGGUGAGGCUUAUCCAUUUGCACACUGGAUAUGCUAACACCUACAAUUUCUCCAAAUGUGGGAAACUCAAUUGCAUAAUCUGUGGGAGUGGGGGACUGUGUUCGUGCCGUCCCCUA
Molecule: small nuclear RNA, 165 nt
Gene: U1
Rfam family: U1 spliceosomal RNA
About the family: U1 is a small nuclear RNA (snRNA) component of the spliceosome (involved in pre-mRNA splicing). Its 5' end forms complementary base pairs with the 5' splice junction, thus defining the 5' donor site of an intron.
Source: Ensembl